RNAcentral lists this ribosomal RNA (623 nucleotides) under uncultured fungus. RNAcentral describes it as "eukaryotic LSU rRNA". It matches the Rfam family "Eukaryotic large subunit ribosomal RNA", at positions 24 to 664 of the family's 3401-position model. Lineage: Eukaryota; Fungi. The record is from RNAcentral.
CCCGCUGAACUUAAGCAUAUCAAUAAGCGGAGGAAAAGAAACCAACAGGGAUUACCCUAGUAACGGCGAGUGAAGCGGUAACAGCUCAAAUUUGAAAUCUGACCUUCACGGGUCCGAGUUGUAAUUUGUAGAGGACGUUUCGGAUAGGCUUUGGUUUAAGUUUCUUGGAACAGAACGUCAUAGAGGGUGAGAGUCCCGUCUAGAACCGACAGCCGCGUCCAUGUGAAACUCCUUCGACGAGUCGAGUUGUUUGGGAAUGCAGCUCAAAAUGGGUGGUAAAUUUCAUCUAAAGCUAAAUAUUGGCCAGAGACCGAUAGCGCACAAGUAGAGUGAUCGAAAGAUGAAAAGCACUUUGAAAAGAGAGUUAAACAGUAUGUGAAAUUGUUGAAAGGGAAGCGCUUGCAACCAGACUUGUGUUUAACGGUUCCCCCAGUCUUCUGACCGGGCUACCCCGUUAUAUCCAGGCCAGCAUCGGUUCGGAUGGUUGGUGAAAGGCCUUGGGAAUGUAUCUACCUUCGGGUCGACUUAUAGCUCAGGGUGUAAUGCAGCCUAUCUGGACCGAGGAACGCGCUUUUGCUCGGAUGCUGGCGUAAUGGUUGUAAGCGGCCCGUCUUGAAACACGG